GUCGGAGGAUAUUCACUGGUAAUCAAACUUGUAGGCUUUAAUUUAACGGCAAAUAAAAUAAUUAAACAGGCACCCAAAAAAAUUAAUUAGACGGUGUCGCUUUGGCACUGAAAGACCGAAAGGAACUGGUUAGUGGUUAGAAAGAAGCUCCUCCGUCGACAAAGAAACAAACAAGCACCAAGAGAGCUCUCACCCGCAAUGAGAGCGUGAUGCGCACGUUAGCAGCAGCCCAGCUGAAGAAUGAAUGUAAUGCUGCCUUGAAAUGUUCAGUCAAAUCAAACAAUUCUAUUGGUUAAGUAUUGUUGCUCUUUCAUUUUUUUGUCCUUUCUUUGGAGCAGUAUUUGUGUCGUUUUAAUCCUCGAAAUGUUCGUUCUCGCAAUUUCACAUCAUCUUCAUCACCAUCAUUCAGUAAAAGAGGUCUCCUCUCUCCCUCUCUUUCUCGGUUUUUUUAUUGUUAAUUACAAGUAUUAUGGUAAACCCAGCUCCAUCACCAUCAUUCUUUGGGUAUAAAUUACGAGCUGCUUGUAUUAUGUUGACGUGGGUUGCGAUCACGGAGCUUUGUUCUUCUCUGAUCAUAGUAUUUGAUGAUGGAUUCGUUUUUAUCUGUAAAUUUAUUGUUGUCAGAUUGCACUUCUUCUGAAUCAUAUAUUCUUAGGCCCCUUUUCUCCUAGAGUGUUGUAAUUGUGUUUUUUUUGCUGUGUUUGUGAUUUUCAGAACUGAUGACCCAUAGUUAAGUAAAUGAACUAUUGAAUAUCAGGUUUAGAUUGAAAUUAGCUUGGCGUAAGAGAUGUUGAGAUUUUUUCUUUCUUUCUUUUUUUAUUCAUACGCAAAUCACAGUGUAAGGUCUGCUGCUGCUGCUGCUUCUUCUUGAUUUCUAGUUGAAAGAAGGAUGAGAAUAGUGGAGAUGGGUGGGGCUCAACUGCUCAAGAGUUGUUCAACAUGUAAGGAGGUGCUAAAGAUGACCACACCAGGAAAGCGGAUUUGAAAGCUCUGCCCUCUCACAGCCAGGGUAUUUUGGUUCUUUAGGCGUGAUGUGAUGGGCUCGAUUUACAUAUUUGAGUAUUCAACCUACGGCAACAUCCAUAAAUGUUCAUGACAACACAAUUGCUGCCAAGAGUUGCUGGAACUUGGUAUUUCCGUUUUGAAACUGCAGAUGAAGCUGUCAGAGCUUUACACCAUGCAGGGGCAAUCUCGGUGAUUAAGUCUAUCCCAGAUUCCUCUGAUGAAGCAGAAAAUGAGAAAUGUAAGGCUAGCUUGCUGAAGAGAUUCCAGGAUCUGAGAUAUGAUAAUUCGUCUUAAGUAAUCGAUUCAGGGCAUAACCCUUUCCAAUGCAGGCUUGAAGUACAGUCAGGUCAAAAAGUCAUCUGACAUCUUGGAGAGAUUAGGCCUCACAAGUAAUGAAAAUACAGUGCAUCUCUUUUGAAUGUAAUUUGAACCAAAAUUUCCCCAUCGAUACUCAUGUUUUUAAUGCUAUGAAUCGUAGGGGUUUGUAUACCAUGAGGCAUGAGCUCGUGGAGUGGAUAUGUAAUAGUUGUCCUGCGCAGUUAUAAUUGUGCUCGUAAGGCUGUGUUUACAUUGAGUAGCUUAGUUUGUGACCCUGAUGGUUUGCCAAGCAAGUAGUUAGCACUCAGCACACGUCCACCAAUUUUUGUGUGUUGACUGUUCCAUCAUCGUAUAUGUGCUAGCCUGAAAUGGAUGUGUUUGUUGGUGCUGGAGUGGAUGGAUGGAUGGAUGUGGACUGCUGCUCAGUUGGACCUUGAUUCUAUGGAGAGUUUAUUGAAGAUACUUCAAACAAUUUCGGCUAUUUGAAUGUUGAAUCACAAAUUCUCCAUGAAGAUGACUUCAGUGUGAAAGUUUAUCCAGGAGUGGACUAUGCCUUCAUUGUGGCAUUGAUUGUAGUCCUCAAUGAGGAAGACAUGGUUUGAUUGUCUCUUGUGAAGUCAUAUCUUACCUGUACAUCAUCAUAUACAUCUAUAGACUCUUCGCAAGAGAGAAUCUGAUGCCAGUUCAAUAUACAAAAUUACGACCUAAACUUUCAGAGAAGCUGCUGUUGGAUUGUAAGGACACGCUACGAGUAUGAAGAAUACAUAUAACAAUACAAGCACCUCAACUAGAAAAACACAGGGAGGGGCUAUUACUAUUACUAUUACUUGUUUCUAACCAAACUAUAGAUGUUUGUUGACAAGGCAAUUGUGCUUGUUGCUACAGCUAGAAUUAUCAUCACUGCUGCCACGAUCUUAUCUCGUGUCGUUGAUAUGCUGUGAACAUCCCUGUAAUUCAUGAGAAGACAAAAGGAAUUAUAUUGUGCAGAA
Molecule: long non-coding RNA, 2312 nt
Organism: Populus trichocarpa (black cottonwood)
Lineage: Eukaryota; Viridiplantae; Streptophyta; Magnoliopsida; Malpighiales; Salicaceae
Exons: 4
Source: RefSeq, a predicted model, not a curated record